GGGGUAUUAGUAUAAUGGACACUACACUAUCUUGUCAAGAUAAAAAUGUAGGUUAAAAUCCUACAUACCCUA
Molecule: transfer RNA, 72 nt
Filed under: Deveximentum ruconius (deep pugnose ponyfish)
Lineage: Eukaryota; Metazoa; Chordata; Actinopteri; Chaetodontiformes; Leiognathidae
Description: tRNA-Asp
Rfam family: tRNA
About the family: Transfer RNA (tRNA) molecules are approximately 80 nucleotides in length. Their secondary structure includes four short double-helical elements and three loops (D, anti-codon, and T loops).
Source: RNAcentral